CCUCGCUCACCAGAGCGUUGCUGCCCUGCUUCGGCGUGGUUCCACGCCAGAGCCGCCACUCCACAAACCCAGCCCUCUUUCCCCUCGACCCCCACAGCGCAGCGCAGCACCACUCUCUCCUCCCUCGUCAGCCGCCACCGGGUCAUCUCGCUGGUGUGGAGGAGUAGCGGAUCUGGCCGCAUCCGAGGCGUGCGGGCGUGGCGGCGGGCAUCUCUGGUAGCGGCGGCGAUCUGCAGGCAAAAUACGAUGGCCGGGGCACUCGAUUCGAUCUAGUGCUGUGGACCGGUCCCUGUAGGAGAGAAAAUAUGAGGGAGAGAGAGAAAGGAAGAAGAGGAGGGAGAAACAGAGAUGAAAGAGGAGAGGGAGGUGUGACGGUGGAUGGGAGAGGGUCUCCGGCCGACGCCGGACAUUCACAUAUCUCCCCCUCUCCUGCUCUCGACCACCACCGUGGCCCUCUUCCUCCCCUUCGAUUCUCCAUCUCCUCUUCCUUGGAGCUAGCUGAGUGGUCCACGAUGAGGAAGAUGGGGAAGACAGAUCCGCCGAUGCUGACCGGCAAAUUCCGUCGGGCGCUGUCGUGGGAAGAGGCGCACCAGAGUAGCAGCACGGGAGGAGAUGAAGGUCGAGGAAGAGGGCAAAGACGCGGGGGUGGAAGAAGAUAUGCUUGUGGUCAUCGCCUUCCGAGACGACGGACCGGGCGAUUCAGAUUUCUCUCGUUCCUUGCCUCAAUGACAUGCUCUGCUUCUUCAGCUUGCAGGGAUAUAAGGAGAGAACUCUAUUGUUGGCAGUGAUUGCAUCAUUUCCACAAGUGGGAUGAGGAGAGAGCUCUAUUGUUGGCAUGGACUGAUGGCAUGAUCUGUACGUAAGGUUGAAGAUUCUGAAUUAGUGGUAACCUGAAAAGUGCCUUACAUGAGGACUGCUGGUGAUCUUAUAUACUUAUAUGUAUAUAUUUUCGUUAUGAAGAACAAGUGAGAAAUCACUGAUGCACAUGGAUGACAGCUUUCCCACGAUGAAACAAAACUGAGAGUUUUUGUAGGACCUACUAGGAUGCAUACCUUUAGGACUGUAUCUACUGGUUCAGGAGGGAGCAGCAGGUAGAAGAAAUCCAAAGCCAAUUUCGCUCAGCUGUAGCGUCUUCCAUUGACAAUAAAACUGCACAGCAGCCUAAUGUGGUUAGUUCUUGCAAUUAAAAACACAAAUCUUUCAGUUUCUCUCCAUUCGCUGGUAAAAAAGCAUAGUGAUUUUCCUCUAUAAAUACCCAACUAUAGAAUACCUUAGUUAAAUCAAUCAAUAGUGAGUUGUAUUACUAGAGACGUACUUAAGAAAAUGCCCUUAGGUGUGACACUCUACAUGGUUACCUUCUUUAGUCCCAGUUAUUUAUCAUACUGAGAUAACACUCUUCCAAGCGGAAUGUUUGUUUUUAUAUACUUCUAGAUGCUAAUUUACUGUUCUUGAUUUUGGCGGGGAUAUUCCUUCAUUUGCUUGGUUGGCUGUCAAUGCUCACCAAUUUUUGAAUAUGUCCCAUGGCUAAAUUUAGUCCAACAUUUCCCGUAUGUAUCUUCUUCUGCUAUCAAUGUUAAUUCUGCCAUAAGCAUAUUACUCUCCUAGCAUUUUUUUCUUUCGAUGAAAAACACAGACACUUGUUCAGUUUUUUACUACACAGAAAAAGAUAAGUUCAAUUUGGUUUCUAAUGUUCAUGUCGGCCUUUGCCUAAGCAAAGAAAGGUAACCAGUUUAUAUUGUAAUCUGGUUUUUAGUUUGUCUUUGAUUCAACCUUUUUUUGUGUGUGUUGUCUAACUGUUAGAUUGUCUGGAACAUCUCAGAACAACCUUUCGUGUCCCCGAUAUUAUCUCGUUUCCUGAACAAUAUUAUUUUAUUUGCUUUAUCUGCCACCAUGAAUUCCUAUAGUUGCUUUCUCUCCUUCCAAUUGAUAUUCUUAGAUGUGAUUCUAUUAGAAAUUUUGUGCCACGACAGAAGUAAUGGUUGAUUGUUCUGGUUUAGCCUUUAUGUCAGUUGUUGCUGAGGGUCCAGUUUCUCAUUUUUCAGAUUUUGUAGUAGCAGGGCUGUGUAUAAUAUGGAUAACUGAACUGGUGUUUAGGGGUUUCAGUGCAGGACUGCUACUUGCUCGAUUAGUUAGAUCGACUGGUGUUAGAUUUCAGUGAGGAGUGAUGUUUCAGUUUCGAUUGCAGGGCUUCGAGAUGCACCAUGAGGAUUGAAACGAGUCUUAUACAGGGCUGCUAAAUUAUUAUGCUUUUGGUCUUUCCUGAAUUUAAUUACCAUAAAUACUUCCAGAAUACCUCUUAUAAUAGGGAAGUUUGUUGUUAACAACACUGAUUUUGCCAGUUUGUGGAACAUGCUUCAUUUUUGCAGGUAAAGAGAAGGAAAAGAGAACAUUGGAGAAAAAGGCAGCAGGACGGAUUCUCUAAGCUUUCUCAUAUGUUUGAACAAUUAGAAGAUAGUUACAAUCAUUUUUCUCUUGCCUUAUUAAAUCUUGAUGUUAAUAGGCUUUGGAAGGUACUAUGCACCCCGAUCAAGGUUUACAGAAUUUGCACCAUCCUAUUACAGUUUGUUCUAAUGACAUAAUUGACCAGUUCUUCCUUGAGUAAAUUAAUAUUGUAGAUGCUA
Molecule: long non-coding RNA, 2621 nt
Organism: Triticum urartu
Lineage: Eukaryota; Viridiplantae; Streptophyta; Magnoliopsida; Poales; Poaceae
Source: RefSeq, a predicted model, not a curated record